RNAcentral lists this ribosomal RNA (1062 nucleotides) under Triticum aestivum (bread wheat). RNAcentral describes it as "partial small subunit ribosomal RNA". The record is from RNAcentral. Lineage: Eukaryota; Viridiplantae; Streptophyta; Magnoliopsida; Poales; Poaceae.
AUGGUUCCGUCCGGGUACGACUGCGCCGCCUCCGUCCUGCUCUGCGCCGAGGACAACGCCGCCAUCCUCGGCCUCGACGACGACGAGGAAGACUGCUCCUGGGCGGCGGCGGCCGCCACCCCGCCGCGCAUCGCCGCCGAUGCCGCCGCGGCGGCGGAGGGGUUCCUGGUGGACCACCCCGUGCAGUCCGAUGAGUGCGUGGCGGCGCUCGUCGAGACGGAGAAGGAGCACAUGCCCGCCGACGGGUACCCCCAGAUGCUGCUGCGCCGGCCCGGGGCCCUGGAUUUGGCCGCCGUCAGGAGGGACGCCAUAGAUUGGAUUUGGAAGGUCAUUGAGCAUUUCAAUUUCGCGCCGUUGACUGCGGUCCUGUCUGUCAACUACCUUGAUAGGUUCCUCUCCGUCUAUCCCCUUCCUGAAGGCAAAGCUUGGGUGACACAGCUCUUGGCAGUGGCUUGCUUGUCCCUCGCUUCAAAGAUGGAGGAGACCUAUGUGCCGCUCCCCGUCGACCUGCAGGUGGUUGAGGCAAAUUCUGCGUUCGAGGGGAAGACCAUAAAAAGGAUGGAGCUUUUGGUGCUCAGCACCUUAAAAUGGAGGAUGCAAGCUGUUACUGCUUGCUCAUUUAUUGACUACUUCCUGCGCAAAUUCAAUGAUCAUGACGCGCCCUCCAUGCUCGCAUUCUCCCGCUCGACCGACCUCAUCCUGAGCACAGCUAAAGGAGCUGAUUUUUUGGUGUUCAGACCUUCAGAGAUUGCUGCAAGUGUCGCACUUGCCGCAUUUGGGGAGCGCAAUACUUCAGUAGUCGAGCGGGCUACAACUACUUGCAAGUUCAUAAACAAGGAGCGAGUGUUAAGAUGCUACGAAUUGAUUCAAGACAAGAUAGCAAUGGGAACCAUUGUCCUAAAGUCAGCUGGAUCAUCAAUGUUCUCUGUGCCGCAAAGCCCGAUAGGCGUGUUGGAUGCUGCUGCAUGUCUCAGCCAACAGAGUGAUGAUACUGCUGUUGGAUCUCCAGCAACAUGCUACCAAGCCUCUUCGGCAAGCAAAAGGAGGAGAAUUGGCAGAUGA